GAUGAACGCUGGCGGCGUGCCUAAUACAUGCAAGUCGAGCGAACGGACGAGAAGCUUGCUUUUCUGAUGUUAGCGGCGGACGGGUGAGUAACACGUGGAUAACCUACCUAUAAGACUGGGAUAACUUCGGGAAACCGGAGCUAAUACCGGAUAAUAUUGUGAACCGCAUGGUUCAAAAGUGAAAGACGGUCUUGCUGUCACUUAUAGAUGGAUCCGCGCUGCAUUAGCGAGUUGGUAAGGUAACGGCUUACCAAGGCAACGAUGCAUAGCGGACCUGAGAGGAUGAUCAGUCACACUGGAACUGAGACACGGUGCAGACUCCUACGGGAGGCAGCAGUGGGGAAUAUUGGACAAUGGGCGAAAGCCUGAUCGAGACAUGCCGCGUGGGUGAAGAAGGUCUUCGGAUUGUAAAGCACUUGAAGUUGGGAGGAAGGGCAGUAAGUUAAUACCUGGCUGUUGGGACGUUCCAACAGAAUAAGCAACGGCUAACUUCGUG
RNAcentral lists this ribosomal RNA (496 nucleotides) under uncultured bacterium. RNAcentral describes it as "partial 16S ribosomal RNA". It matches the Rfam family "Bacterial small subunit ribosomal RNA", at positions 28 to 507 of the family's 1533-position model. The record is from RNAcentral.